Molecule: long non-coding RNA, 1018 nt
Organism: Neofelis nebulosa (Clouded leopard)
Lineage: Eukaryota; Metazoa; Chordata; Mammalia; Carnivora; Felidae
Exons: 2
Source: RefSeq, a predicted model, not a curated record
AGGCCGUAAACAACAUUACAGGGAAAUGAACUCAAGGACAAUCGUUGCUUUAGGAGCUUUGUCAAAGCCACGGUGAGGCUCUGGCUGUUGAGAACCGAGGGCUUCUUCCCGCGGAUGCUUUUUCGGUUUUCCUUUUCUCAGAGCCUCACGGAACAUUUUGGCGUGACAGGGAAAUUCUAUUUAGGAAGAGUGAGGCACAGCACGGCAAAGCUCCCGUCUCCAGAUUAAGUUUCCACAACUGGUAGAAGAGAUGGAGUUACGUGUUGGAAUCCAGUCAACAAACGGGCAGGUCCCAGGCAAAGAACAUGGGCGUUGGCAUGAUAUCUACCACAGCUCUAAUAAGUAGUCAUUUAUAAUAAUAAUGUUCGCGAGAAAAAUGAGUUGCCUGUGCAGGAGACAGUAAGUUCCCCAAAGAGGCGGAAGUAUGGGUCUCCGGAGAAAACCACAAACAUGAGGAAGCUCUAAACCACAGUUGCUGAAAAAAGGCAUUUCUGGAGGACCGUUGGCAAUUGUUGCCAUGUACAGAGGGAAACAUUUCGAUUAAAGUACUAAGUGGGGCCUGGAUCUGAGCACACGGGCCCUGUAAACUCCAACGCUGACGGUCUCCUGCCCAAAGAGUCUGCCCGUUAGAUGUUCUACGGAUAUCUCAAGGAUGACAUACAGUUUAUAUUCAAAGGAUGAAAUCGGAACCAGUCAGAAUUUGGAUCCUGUGUUUUUUGGGAGAUCGUAUUCUGCUGCUUAGAUCCUCAAUCAUUCCUCUCUGAAAGUUCUCUUCCUCUAUGAGGUAUCCUUCCACUCACCCUGUGAAGCCAGUCGACUGAGGACUCUCUUAGGAUCCAGGAAACAAAGACGUUGAAGGAUUCUCUUUACGUUUUCAGAAACGUUACCACAAUAGCACUUCCCAAAUCUUCUCUUUUACAUAUUUUCUGUGAAGUUAUGGAACAUAGGGUUCUAAAGGGUUAUAAAGCAAACUUUCACAUUUCCCGGAAAAUAAAUACAACUGAUUUGGAAACUCUUA